UACGUAUGGUGCAAGCGUUGUCCGGAUUUACUGGGUGUAAAGGGGGCGCAGACGGCGAUGCAAGCCAGGAGUGAAAGCCCGGGGCCCAACCCCGGGACUGCUCUUGGAACUGCGUGGCUGGAGUGCAGGAGGGGCAGGCGGAAUUCCUGGUGUAGCGGUGAAAUGCGUAGAUAUCAGGAGGAACACCGGCGGCGAAGGCGGCCUGCUGGACCGCGACUGACGUUGAGGCUCGAAAGCGUGGGGAGCAAACAGG
Molecule: ribosomal RNA, 253 nt
Filed under: uncultured bacterium
Lineage: Bacteria
Description: partial 16S ribosomal RNA
Rfam family: Bacterial small subunit ribosomal RNA
Source: RNAcentral